GAUGAACGCUGGCGGCGUGCCUAAUACAUGCAAGUCGAGCGAACAGAUGAGGAGCUUGCUCCUCUGACGUUAGCGGCGGACGGGUGAGUAACACGUGGAUAACCUACCUAUAAGACUGGGAUAACUUCGGGAAACCGGAGCUAAUACCGGAUAAUAUAUUGAACCGCAUGGUUCAAUAGUGAAAGACGGUUUUGCUGUCACUUAUAGAUGGAUCCGCGCCGCAUUAGCUAGUUGGUAAGGUAACGGCCUACCAAGGCAACGAUGCGUAGCCGACCUGAGAGGGUGAUCGGCCACCCUGGAACUGGAACACGGUCCAGACUCCUACGGGAGGCAGCAGUAGGGAAUCUGCCGCAAUGGGCGAAAGCCUGACGGAGCAACGCCGCGUGAGUGAUGACGGUCUUCGGAUCGUAAAACUCUGUUAUUAGGGAAGAACAAAUGUGUAAGUAACUAUGCACGUCUUGACGGUACCUAAUCAGAAAGCCACGGCUAACUACGUG
RNAcentral lists this ribosomal RNA (497 nucleotides) under uncultured bacterium. Its description in RNAcentral is "partial 16S ribosomal RNA". It matches the Rfam family "Bacterial small subunit ribosomal RNA", at positions 28 to 507 of the family's 1533-position model. The record is from RNAcentral.